RNAcentral lists this transfer RNA (75 nucleotides) under Peribacillus simplex. RNAcentral describes it as "Bacillus simplex tRNA-Arg". It matches the Rfam family "tRNA". Rfam says of the family: Transfer RNA (tRNA) molecules are approximately 80 nucleotides in length. Their secondary structure includes four short double-helical elements and three loops (D, anti-codon, and T loops). Further hydrogen bonds mediate the characteristic L-shaped molecular structure. tRNAs have two regions of fundamental functional importance: the anti-codon, which is responsible for specific mRNA codon recognition, and the 3' end, to which the tRNAs corresponding amino acid is attached (by aminoacyl-tRNA synthetases). tRNAs cope with the degeneracy of the genetic code in two manners: having more than one tRNA (with a specific anti-codon) for a particular amino acid; and 'wobble' base-pairing, i.e. permitting non-standard base-pairing at the 3rd anti-codon position. The record is from RNAcentral. RNAcentral also lists the same sequence under 4 other names. Lineage: Bacteria; Bacillati; Bacillota; Bacilli; Caryophanales; Bacillaceae.
GUCUCAGUAGCUCAGCUGGAUAGAGCAACGCCCUUCUAAGGCGUCGGUCGGGAGUUCGAAUCUCUCCUGGGACAC